Molecule: ribosomal RNA, 404 nt
Filed under: uncultured Rhizobiaceae bacterium
Lineage: Bacteria; Pseudomonadati; Pseudomonadota; Alphaproteobacteria; Hyphomicrobiales; Rhizobiaceae
Description: bacterial SSU rRNA
Rfam family: Bacterial small subunit ribosomal RNA
Source: RNAcentral
UGGGGAAUAUUGGACAAUGGGCGCAAGCCUGAUCCAGCCAUGCCGCGUGAGUGAUGAAGGUCUUAGGAUUGUAAAGCUCUUUCACCGAUGAAGAUAAUGACGGUAGUCGGAGAAGAAGCCCCGGCUAACUUCGUGCCAGCAGCCGCGGUAAUACGAAGGGGGCUAGCGUUGUUCGGAAUUACUGGGCGUAAAGCGCACGUAGGCGGAUAUUUAAGUCAGGGGUGAAAUCCCGCAGCUCAACUGCGGAACUGCCUUUGAUACUGGGUAUCUCGAGUAUGGAAGAGGUGAGUGGAAUUCCGAGUGUAGAGGUGAAAUUCGUAGAUAUUCGGAGGAACACCAGUGGCGAAGGCGGCUCACUGGUCCAUUACUGACGCUGAGGUGCGAAAGCGUGGGGAGCAAACAGG